Molecule: ribosomal RNA, 247 nt
Filed under: uncultured bacterium
Lineage: Bacteria
Description: partial small subunit ribosomal RNA
Rfam family: Bacterial small subunit ribosomal RNA
Source: RNAcentral
AGGACGAACGCUGGCGGCGUGCUUAACACAUGCAAGUCGAACGAGGCGCUUGCGCCUAGUGGCGAACGGGUGAGUAACACGUGAGCAACCUGCCCUUGGCUCUGGGAUAGCCUCCGGAAACGGGGAUUAAUACCGGACAUGACCUUCUCCUGCAUGGGGGAGGGUGGAAAGUUUUUCGGCCAGGGAGGGCUCGCGGCCUAUCAGCUUGUUGGGGGGUAACGGCCCACCAAGGCGACGACGGGUAGCC